AGCGAACGUUAGCGGCGGGCUUAACACAUGCAAGUCGAACGAGAAAGUACCUUCGGGUACGAGUAAAGUGGCGCACGGGUGAGGAACACGUGGGUAACCUACCUUUUGGCGCGGGAUAACGGUUCGAAAGGACCGCUAAUACCGCAUAAGCUGUUGACGGCUUCGGCUGUUACCAGGAAAGGAUGGCUCGCAAGAGCUAUCGCCAUUAGAUGGGCCCGCGUCCCAUCAGCUAGUUGGUGAGGUAACGGCUCACCAAGGCUUAGACGGGUAGCUGGUCUGAGAGGAUGAUCAGCCACACUGGAACUGACACACGGUCCAGACUCCUACGGGAGGCUG
Molecule: ribosomal RNA, 336 nt
Filed under: uncultured Pseudomonadota bacterium
Lineage: Bacteria; Pseudomonadati; Pseudomonadota
Description: bacterial SSU rRNA
Rfam family: Bacterial small subunit ribosomal RNA
Source: RNAcentral